AGAGCGGUUCAGCACUCCACGGGCACCAUACCCACGUCAGAAAAUUCCCUAUCACCGCACGAUGCGUUCCGCAACAAGACCAUAGGGACAGGAAAAAAGAGGAAGUUGAACACGUGUUUGAAAGUUGAAGACACAAAGGAAAGCGUAGAGACGCGCAUUAACAAAGAAAAAAGUAUUGCAGAGAAAAGUGAAAGUUUGAGAGUACAAUAUCUGAAAGAAAAUAAGGGCGAAAAAGGUAAGGCAAGUAAGCCAAGAAUUGUGGAGGAGGUUAUUCUUACAGUAAAGAAAGUGGUAAUAGAAAAAGGGAAAGGAAAAAACACAUAUAUAAAGGAAAACCAGGAAGGAAAAUCUGAGAGAUACAUGGACGGCGGUCCAACAUAUAAAGUCAAAGGAAAAGAGGAAAGGAACGACAAAGUAAAAUAGGAGUUUCACGGGUAUAUUAAAAGUAUUAGGAUAGUGAACAAAAUAAUCGCUGAGGUUACGUUUAGAGACGCGUAUAACGGUAUGGAAACAUAGAAAAAUCAAAGAAAAAGAAGAAAAGACUUGUGUGUACAAAAUCCCGCGAAGAGCAACCGGAAGGUGGGGGGUUUGCAGAGAGUGGGACUACUCACCCAAGGAAUUAAUAGAGCUAGCGGAAGAGGGUCAAGGUAUCAUCAGUGCGGAAAGGCUGAAAAAACGUAUAAAAACUGAAAAGGGAAUAGACUAUAAAGAGUCGAUGUUAGUGCUAGUGAAGUUUGCAGGUGAUACGUUACCUACCAGAAUAAGUCUCUACGAGGGUGCGCUCAACAUCAACAUCGAUCCAUAUGUCAAAGGAGUGAAACAAUGUUUCAAGUGCUUAAAGUAUGACCACUUUAAAAAUAUAUGCAGAGCGGAGGACAAAAAGUGCUUCAUCUGUGGGGAGAAUUACCAUGGGAGGUGCAACGGUGUGCCAAAAUGUGUGAAUUGCGGCGAAAGCCAUGGAUCAUUGAGCAGAAUGUGUCUCCACUGGCAGAUGGAAAGCGCCACAAAUAAAUUGAUGGCUCAUAAAAACAUAGCCUUCAGCGAAGCAAGAGAAGAGAGAAACUUCCCAAGCUUACCUAACAGGAGAAUGUACAGAGAGGAAACGUGGGAGGACAGGCUGUGUCCCAUUAAGAAAAACCCUUGGGAAAGGAAAAUCAAAGAAAAGGAGGUAACGUUUGUAAAUAAGAAUAGAUACAAUGUUCUCAACGACGAAAAUGAGGGUUAUGAGCCAGGUAACUGGGAGGCGAAAAACUUAGAGACGGGAACAAGAUACCAGGAUCAUAGCUACCAAAUAAACAAAAAAACACAAAAACCAAAAAGAGAAUUCUCAGAAGACGACAUCGAGGCAGUCAUAAGCUGGAUCACAAACUCCAACAUGGAGGAUAUCAUUAUAAAUAGAAUUAAUAGAAAUAAAAAAAUAUACCAUCCAAGGAGAAUAGAUUUGGACGACUCGGAUUAUAAACCAGCAAGAGCAAAAAGAGAGUAUAUGGAAGGUAGAAAAGCAUGGGAAAGAGAGGAUAGAGUGAGGAAAGAAUUGCCUAAAUACGCCCCAAUUAAGGAGGUCGAGAAUAACAGAAAAGCACUAGUAAGAAAAAAUCAUGAGAUGAUAAGGUCAACUUUCAGGAACGAGAAAAGAUUUGGAAGGACAUAUAGCAGAAGGCCGAGGUUUCCGAACGUGAUACCUAGGGAUACGGGGAGAGACGAGGAAGAAAAGAAGAAGGCGACAAAGAUCGCAAAGGAAAUAGAUGAACUAAAACCAGCCCAGAUCAUAGGUAGUUUGGGAUCAGAAAGAGAUGCAAGGGAUGCACAAGAAGGAAAAGAACAAGAAUCGAACAUCAGAACAAAUGUGAUGUCGGACGAAGAGUGGGAAGGUGAAACACCGAUAACCGAUAAAAAAGAAGAAGAAGAGGAGACGACGCUCAUACACGAUGAGAAUAUGGAGGAUCUACUGAAGUUCGAAUCCAUUGGGGCCACGGUAGAGGUGAUAGAAAUCAGCACGGUAGAAGAAGGAAGCCCGUCAGAGGGACAAGCGAAAGAAAACAAGGAAAUGGAAAAUAACGAGUACCCGGAAGACGGGGAAGAAUGGGGAACUCCGCAACAGGGAAGAGAAAGAUUAUGUCGAAUUAUGUAAAGAUAGGCUUUUGGAACGCGAAUAGCAUUAUGAAUAAAACAAUAGACUUAUUAAAUUGUAUCGACGAAUAUGAUGUGAUGUUUGUAUGCGAAUCAUGGGUAGAAAAAAUACAAGAAAAGAAUAUUAAGGGAUACUUAGUAGUAUAUAAUAAUAUUCCGGAAUUCGAAGGGAAAAGAAGAAACGGAACGUCAGAAAUCCAGGUAGCAAUUUCACCAAGGAAAAAUGGAAAUACUUGUUUGAUAAAAUGAAUAUUAAGGAUAACACUGUAAUAAUAGGAGAUCUAAAUGCAAAGCACACGAGUUGGAACUGUAAGAGGGAAAACACGUCAGGAAGUGCAUUGGCUAUAGUAUUAGAAGAAAUAGAAAUGGAAAUAGUUAACACAGAAACAAUAACUAGGAUUGACCUUAUCAUUACACACCCAUAUAUGUCAGGUAACUUAACAUACUCUGAGUCUAACAUUAACCUAGGAUCUGACCAUCAGAUAAUUAACUUAAUAUUAUACGCAAAUGAUAGUAUAGGUUUAGAUAACUAUCGCAGCAAAUUUGCGAGAAAAUCUGGCAGACUGUAUGAUAAAAAAGACAAUGUGAAUUGGGAUAAUAUAAGGGAAGAAUUAGAAAGGAAAAAGGAUAAAAUAAUGGAAGAAUUCAAGAAAGCUGAGGAUAUAGGAAACAAAUAUAAGGUAUGGGUAAGCAAUAUCAAGGAAGUAUUUAGACUAGUUAAGGGAAAGGAAAGUAGGACAAGUAAUAGACAGGUAAACAAUCGAGACAACAUACUACAGAAUAAUAACCGAAAAGGAAGGAAUCAUAAUGAGAGGAAACCGAACAAUAAAAGGAUGCGAACAAUAAAAAAUUCUGGUGGGACGAAGAAUGCAGAGUUGCUUGGGAAGCGUGGAUACAAAGUAGUAAGAGGCUAUGGAAUGCAGGGAAUAUGGAAGACCAUAUUAUCAUGGAACAAAAUAGAAAGAGAUGGAACAAAAUGAGAAGAGAAAAGAAAGAAAAAGCAUAGGAAGAAUUCACGGAUCAAAUUUCCAAAGAAAACGACAUAGGCAAGAUCUGGCAAAAGGUAAGGAGUGUAAAAAAUUACUACACCAAGAAAAAAUCAGCUAUGAAUAACAAAACUAGGAAAGAAUUAGAGAAAAAAGAAAUAGAAGAACUUAAAAGGAAAAAUUAUGAACUAAACAAUCCGUUCAUAGGAAUAGAAACAGAAAUCAAAGAGUACAAUGAAGGAAGGGAAUCUAUAUGAUCCAAAAAGAUAGAAAACACGGAAAUAAUGUUAACAAUCGCAUCACAAAAAGGCAAAAGAUCGGCACCAGGAAACGACGGGGUGGAUUACAAGAUCAUAAACGAAUUACCAGGGUUCAUGAGAAACGUGUAUUGUGAAUUGAUAAAAGAGAGCUGGAACAGAGAAGAAAUUCCGCAGGAAUGGAGAGAAGGCCGAAUAUGUUUCCUGGAUAAACCGAAUAAAGCUGCAUUGAGACUCAUCACACUUACCUCGUGCGCAGUAAGAUUUUGGAGAAAAUAAUUAACAGAAGGUUGUCAAUGUGGACGGAAACUAAUAAUAUAAUCCAUGACACGCAGUCGGGUUUCAGAAAUAAGAGGUCGACUCUGGAUAACUUGAAUAGAUUAAUAACAGAAAUCAAGUACAACCGAAUGAAAAAUCUGGACUCGGCAACAGUGUUCGUGGAUAUCAAAGGACCGUACGAUAAUGUCGACUUCAAGAAAUUGAUAGAGAUACUCAUGAAAUUGAAGUGUCCCGAAAAAAUAGUAAAGUGGCUUAAGGGGGUAGACACGGCACGUUACCUCUCCGAUUCGGAAGGUCGGUAUUACAGCAGCUACUCUCUGCAUAAUGGUGUUACCAUUAAAUAUGCGGUAGCGGAGGAAAACUAGAUGGAGCUGCUCGUUAUUGCCAUACAGUAUAGUUUCUUCUCAACAACAUAUACUGUAUACUUCUUCCUUCAGUGAUUCUAAAUGCUCAGCGUAGGAAGUAGUAGUAUUCUGUUCCACGCUGCGUAUUACGCUUGUGUAGUGCGGUCACACUUCACCAUCACGCGUGCAUAUACAAAUAGGAGCUAGGUUGGGGGACCCUCGGCGCCGCUGCGGCGCCUCGUGAGUUGCUCCGCGCUAUCGAGACACGUCUCCGACACGAGGCUCCUUUGAAGCGUUUACCUACUCCUCGAUUAGAAUUUUUUAAAAUUAAAAAAAACUUUGACCUUAAAUUUUGAGGUCAUAAUGGAUUUUGAGGACGGUGACCAAUAAUUUUUAUAUACCCUGCACACCCUGAUUUCAUUUAUAAAAAUAAAGAAGUUUAACACGGCUUCCGUUUCCGGUGGUUUUAGCGAGUGAAUGUAGAAAAGGUGUGGGCAGGGAAAAGUGAAGAAGUUGGAGUGAAGGAAGUGAGAAAGGAGGUGCGAUAGUGGGUGUAAGGGGAAAGAGUGUAGGGCGGAUGGUGAGUGUGUGAAGGGAGAGUGAAGGGAGUCGCAGGAAAGUGUCAGGAAGAGAAUGAUAGUGUGAGAGAAAAGUGAGGUUAGGAAGAUUAGAGGUACGAUUUGAGAUAGCAAGGGAGACGAAGGAAAGACGCGGAGAAGCAAGGGGAAUAAAGGGAAAGAGAGGAAAAGGUGGAAGGAGUUAAGAGAAGAAAGGGCUGGUAAAGGUGAAGAAGGGAAGUGGCCGGUACGGUCAGGAGGAAGAGGUAGGGUGAGGAGAAGAAAGAGA
RNA transcript from Hylaeus volcanicus, 4842 nucleotides. RefSeq lists it as uncharacterized. NCBI's taxonomy places the organism in Eukaryota, Metazoa, Arthropoda, Insecta, Hymenoptera, Colletidae. The transcript is spliced from 4 exons. The record is from RefSeq and is a predicted model, not a curated record.